RNAcentral lists this long non-coding RNA (4305 nucleotides) under Equus asinus (donkey). RNAcentral's name for it is "lncRNA (ENSEASG00005037614.1)". Lineage: Eukaryota; Metazoa; Chordata; Mammalia; Perissodactyla; Equidae. The record is from RNAcentral.
CUGAAGACACUGGAGAGCCCUUGAGGACCACUGGCCUGACAGUGACGACUAGAGGCAAACAGGAGAAGAUCAAAUACUUGCUUUCCCAGCCUCUCUUGCUGCCAGGGAGCCAGCAUUCGAGCCGGGCUCAGCCAGUCGGACACACCUUCCAACUCUGAAGCUGAUUAGAAGCAAGUCCAAAAGGGAGAUAGAAAGAGAAGGAGGAGAGCAGGGUCUGGCUCUUUUACCAAUUUGGACUUGAAAAAGAAAGAGAAGAAAAGAAAACACACCGCGUAUUCUGAGACAUCUAACCAGCCUUUCUGUGUUCCAUGAGGGAAAGGGAAGUCGAGCUGUUUUGCAAUAAUUCCUCCAAGUCUUCAGACUCUGGCAGCACAAGAAAAAUACUAAGGAGCAGAGACCACACCUUUCCCACAUUGAGUUCAGUGGAACAUGAACUCAGCUGCCUGCGUCGUUCUUCAAAGACACAGCUGCAGGAUAGCUUCAGCUGCACUGGUUUGGAAACCCUCAAAAGUGGGCCAAGACUCUUAGGCUGGUUUCAGCACAGUUGUUAUUCCUAGCCCCGCCCACAGGAAAAGGGCAGGUCCUGAAGACUGUUGUUGUAGAUAUUGGAUAGGAGAACAAACCAAGAUGGUGGCACUGGCCAUUAUAGGUGGAAUGCAUGGGGUGACUUGGCCUUCCCUGCCUCCUGGCCCCUCCUUUGUACACCUUCUCUCCCAAGCUCAAAGAUGUGUAUUGUGCUAGGAGGAAAAUUACAAGAGAGUUUGGCUUACUUGUUACUGGGGCAACACCUACAAGACUAACUGCAGCGAAGGUGGGAAAAGGCCUAGAAAAAUCUGAUGAUGUAAACAGUUUGAGAGCUUCCAGUGAAACCUGUCUCGCAGGGCCAGUGCCACACGUUAUACUCAGUUCUUCACUCUCAACAGAGAAAAGGGCCUUCUGGUUUGCUGUUUCCUCUCUCUAGUCUUACUCUUUUUGUAUCCUGGAGGCCUCCAAUUGUGGGGGAAGGCAGAAUUCUCCCCACCCCCACCUUUUCCCCUCCUGGUUCUUAUGACUGGUCGAAUAAUUAAACUGGCAUAGGGCAGGUUAGCAGGAGAAAAUUAAACCACAUUUAAUACAUAUGCACUGGGAAUUCACAUAAGCAUGAAGAAUUCCAAAGACAGUCAGGCAAAAUGAGGUAGAUAUGUCUUUCUGGACUAAGGAGAAGGAGAUAGAGUUCUGAAACUUCAAAGGGAGAGAAGGCAAUUUACAGAAAGAUGGAAAGAGUUAAUAUUUGGUAAACAAAUAUUUGCUGGGCCAUCUACAGAUGAUGGGACCCAAGGAGAGAACUUUGAUAAAAUGGGCCUUGCUAGGUGCCUUUCCAUCUCUCACACCUGGUUCAUAUUAUACUGGAGUUAUCUAAGGUGAUAGCUCCUUCCUGGGACAGGCCUUUCUAUCAAAUUCUUUUAGGUAAUUAGGGGGAAGGUCAAAGGUUCUUCCCGAGUCUUCUGAUCCUUGAUUAUUUUAAGCUCGAAAUAAUCCGCAUACCAGAGUGGCACAUUCUGGGUUGGCCUGCCCUCAACCCCAUCACAAGCCUUAUCCUGGAGAGAACACAUUCACCCAUCUGAGCAAUAAGUGCUAUAGAAACACUUGGGAUGCGGAUGUUAUGUUCUUCGUUUUGACUGGCUUCUUUUUAACUUGCCCUCAGCAUGAUUUCACUGCACUCUUUAUUUGCAGCUGCUUUAAGGAUGUCAAGCUGGGCCUCCGUCCCAUAAUUCCUCCAGGUGAUUUAAAGGUGACAGUCUCCCAGGAAGAAGCUUUCCUGUCUGGGACUUCCCACCAGACCUCAUUUCCGAGCAUUGCUGCAGUCCUGAAGUGAGACCCUCCAGUCUGGACUUGCCUGAGACAGAUGGAGGCUGGGCCAGCCCUACCUGCCCUGCUCCUGCUCAACCUGUAUAUCUCCUCCUGCUGUAAUUGCAUAUCCUGGAGAACAGCCAGGAUCUUCCUGCAGAGCCAAAGCCUCAGAGGGAAUUUCGCUGGCAGUUACACACCCUCAGGUUCCCAGGGAGGAAUGCAGCCUGUUGGGAAGGUGUUCAUUCUCGGGCAUCAGCAGAGCAUCUGGUCAAUCACACAUACAUGUGUGUACAGGAGGGGCUCUUCCCUUCCCUCCUCUUUCCCAUCAUUCUCUCCACUCCCUCCUCCACUCCCUCAGCCCUAGUACACAUAGCCUCAACCUGAACAUCACAGUUGCCACAGGGGAACAAGAGUGCAGAGAGACUGCUCCAGAUAAAGUUAUUUCUCUUAGUUUCGGCGAUGCUGCCCUCAAGCAGAAUUCUGACUGCCGUGCUGGUUUAAGUUCUCUUCCUUCUCUUCCCAGCUCAGACUCAAGAUUUGGACUUCCUUGCCUGGAUCUGUGGCUCAAGGGGAGCUGGAAUGACUCUCAAAUAUAUCUCCCUCGUGAUAGGGGAGCUGGGGGACACCACCGAGGCCUAAAUUUUUCCCGUCAAGUUGCUACAGCAUCUGAAAUUCCCAUGAAUCUUGCAGCACUUUAAAAAGAUAAUCCUGUGGGAGGACUAAGAUAGCAACCACUGGUGAAUACUUUAAGUGUAUCACUGAGUUGGAAGUUUCUUCAUAACACCCAGCUAAGGCUCAAGAUUCUUGGAGGAAGAGUGCUUCUGGAAGAUACCGGUUACCUGAGGAGGCCUAGCCCUGGGGAGAAUUGCCCAGAUGACAAGGAUAAGCCUCACUUUUCCCUGGCAGGGCAGGCCUGUGUCUACCUCCCUCACCCUGCUAUGGCUCAAGGGUCCUCUGAGAGAAUGUCCUAGAAGUAGUUCUCAAAGUAUGGUUCUCAGCCUUGUGGUGGUCUUAGAAAGUCUUCCAAGAGGACUGCAGACUGGUUCCAAUAACGUGGUUGUGGUUCCUCAGUAUAAUACCCCACCCUCGGACUCCAAAUGACGUUGGAGAGUUACAUCUGGGGUGCCCUAUUCUAGGCGAGGGAUUGCAGCAUCCUAUAAGCAUCAUCCUCAUCAUUAUAGAGCAUUUCUCUAGAUUUCAUGAAUUCCGCCUUCGACAUUCAUUCAUUCAAUGAGCUUUUAUCAAAUAUCUUUUUUUCUGUGUGCACCAUGUUAGGACAGGAGACAAUAAGAUAGGGCUCCUGUCUUUCAAAAGAGAGUAUUUACCCUAAGGGGGAAAAUGCAUGGGUCAAGCAAUAAUUACUGACAACAUGGAACAAUUCUCUAAAUACUGACAGAGGAAUGCAAAAACGCUAGGGGACACAACCCACGUCUGCAGGUGCCAAACACGUUUUUCCAGAACAGGUGACUUGCAGUGGAGUUUUGAAGUUGACCUUAUAGAUAAGAAGGAAGACUUCUCAAGAGGCAGGAUGCAGUGACCUGUUCUUGACAAUGUGGAGUAUGAACUUGCUGAACUUUACUCCUUCCUUCAUUGGUUCAAAAACUAGAUUUUUGAAGGAAGCAGCAUUGGUUUGAGACUUGAAGGAUAGAUCCUAUUUGGAUAUUUAGAGAUGAGGGAGGGAUAGGCAUCCUAAGCUAAGGGACCAGCAGAAUAAAGGAAGUGGGGAGUGAGUUGUUCAGUUCAGAGUAUACGGAGAGGGAUGGGGAGAAGUUCGGGUGGAAUCAGACCUUCUCACUCCUUGGCCAAUCCACCAUCUCAUCCUAUCAAUUCCACCUUCCAAACACAAUGAAUCAGGAGCAGAGUUCCGAAUUCAGAUCUCAUCUGUCCUCUGCUCUCAGUCCUUGUUGCCACUGCCUAGUUCAUUCAGACCCUCAUCUUCCCUUUGCCUCCCCUCUCAACUGGGCUCCCUGCCUCUAGCUUCUACUCCUUUCCGUUCAUUAUCCAAACCACUGUUAAGGUUAUUUUCUUAAAAGGCAAGUUGUACUCUGUCAUUUUUCUGCAUGACAUAUCUCAAUAUCUCACCAUCAUUCAGGAUAAUCCUCAACCCUUAGAAUGGCUUAUAUUAUAAGGCUGUUUGUGAUCCAGCCCCUGCCUACCUCCCAGGUUCUAUAUCCAUUGCUCCCACCUGGCACCCUAUCUCACAUACACCAAACUCCAAAUAUGUUGUGUGGUUUCAUGCCUUAAGGCCUUUGCACAUGCUGUUCCUUCUCCCUGGAAAAUCCUUCUGUGUCUUGUCUUCUCGGCAAACUCAUAUUCAUCCUUUAAACAGGGACUCAACUAUCACCUCCCUCAACCUUCUUGUACAGAGUUAAUCACUGCUAUUCCUUAUUCAUAUUGUUACUCUUAUCACUCUGUGGCUGGAAUGAGCUCUUCACAGUAUGCUCUUCUGCCAGAUGCUGAGCAGCUUCAGGGCAG